GACGAACGCUGGCGGCGCGCUUAACACAUGCAAGUCGAGCGAGAACCAGGGCUUCGGCCCUGGGGACAGCGGCGAACGGGUGAGUAACACGUGGAUAACCUGCCCUCGGCACCGGGAUAGCCCGAGGAAACUCGGAUUAAUACCGGAUAGCCCCUCCGACUCUCGGGUCGGUCCGAAAAGGUAGCUUCGGCCUCUGGCCGAGGAUGGGUCCGCGGCGGAUUAGCUUGUUGGUGGGGUAAUGGCCUACCAAGGCUCGAUCCGUAGCUGGUCUGAGAGGACGAUCAGCCACACUGGGACUGAGACACGGCCCAGACUCCUACGGGAGGCAGCAGUGGGGAAUCUUGCGCAAUGGGCGAAAGCCUGACGCAGCGACGCCGCGUGAGGGAAGAAGG
RNAcentral lists this ribosomal RNA (392 nucleotides) under uncultured bacterium. RNAcentral describes it as "bacterial SSU rRNA". It matches the Rfam family "Bacterial small subunit ribosomal RNA", at positions 28 to 414 of the family's 1533-position model. The record is from RNAcentral.